CAAGGCUUGACAUGGACCGGACCGGGCUGGAAACAGUCCUUCCCCUUUGGGGCCGGUUCACAGGUGGUGCAUGGUUGUCGUCAGCUCGUGUCGUGAGAUGUUGGGUUAAGUCCCGCAACGAGCGCAACCCUCGUUCCAUGUUGCCAGCGCGUAAUGGCGGGGACUCAUGGGAGACUGCCGGGGUCAACUCGGAGGAAGGUGGGGACGACGUCAAAUCAUCAUGCCCCUUAUGUCUUGGGCUUCACGCAUGCUACAAUGGCCGGUACAAAGGGUUGCGAUACUGUGAGGUGGAGCUAAUCCCAAAAAGCCGGUCUCAGUUCGGAUUGGGGUCUGCAACUCGACCCCAUGAAGUCGGAGUCGCUAGUAAUCGCAGAUCAGCAACGCUGCGGUGAAUACGUUCCC
This 402-nucleotide ribosomal RNA is filed under the name uncultured bacterium. RNAcentral describes it as "bacterial SSU rRNA". It matches the Rfam family "Bacterial small subunit ribosomal RNA", at positions 975 to 1375 of the family's 1533-position model. The record is from RNAcentral. RNAcentral also lists the same sequence under 1 other name.